Molecule: ribosomal RNA, 253 nt
Filed under: uncultured bacterium
Lineage: Bacteria
Description: partial 16S ribosomal RNA
Rfam family: Bacterial small subunit ribosomal RNA
Source: RNAcentral
UACGUAGGGGCCUAGCGUUGUCCGGAAUUACUGGGCGUAAAGGGCGCGUAGGCGGCCUGCUAAGUCGAACGUGAAAUCCCUGGGCUCAACCCAGGAACUGCGUCCGAUACUGGUUGGCUUGAAUCCGGGAGAGGGAUGUGGAAUUCCAGGUGUAGCGGUGAAAUGCGUAGAUAUCUGGAGGAACACCGGUGGCGAAGGCGACAUCCUGGACCGGUAUUGACGCUGAGGCGCGAAAGCCAGGGGAGCAAACGGG